RNAcentral lists this unclassified non-coding RNA (205 nucleotides) under uncultured Exophiala. Its description in RNAcentral is "sequence contains ITS2". The record is from RNAcentral. Lineage: Eukaryota; Fungi; Ascomycota; Eurotiomycetes; Chaetothyriales; Herpotrichiellaceae.
UCACCCCUCAAGCCCCCGGGCUUGGUGUUGGACGGUCUGGUCGAGGUCCUUCCCUCGACCCCUCCCAAAGACAAUGACGGCGGCCUGGUCAGACCCCCGGUACAUGGAGCUUCUUCAUUGAGCACGUAUCGGUCUAAAAGGAUCUCCAGGACCCGGUCUUCUCCUCGCUCCCUCGCGGGAGUGAGGAAAACCCCCUUUUUUCUAA